Molecule: long non-coding RNA, 16102 nt
Filed under: Lathyrus oleraceus (garden pea)
Lineage: Eukaryota; Viridiplantae; Streptophyta; Magnoliopsida; Fabales; Fabaceae
Description: Pisum sativum (pea) long non-coding RNA (PSAT_LNC032108)
Source: RNAcentral
GCUGUGGAGGUUAACAUAAGUCCAGAUAAAUUGGCAGUUGACUUCCACGUUUGUUUUUGUUUCAUUCUGAUGGAGAUUAGUGUAAGUCCAUAAAGUGGCUUCUGAUAUCCUUACUUGUUUUAGGAGACAGGUAUAAGACCAUUGAGUGGCAUCCAGUAUCCGCUUUUAUUUAUUUUCAUCUGUUAUCACGUUCAUAUUAUUGCUCAUUUGUAGCCUAUUCCUAAGGGCCCACUUGAAUCAUCUUCUAUAUGAUUUCAAGAGGCGGACCCUCCUAAGAAGUUUUACAUUCACUCCACCAUCCCAUCCAUCCCAUUGUGUCCUAAACUUUUCACACAUGUUUUAAAGCUUGAAAUAAGUGUUGUGCAAACAUUCUCACCUCUUUCCAAAUUAGAAACUUGGACCUUAAGUCCAUGAUUUUCCAAACUCCAUCUUUUGUAAAUACUUCAUUUUGAAUUGACUUUAAUCAUACUUUGACCAUGUUUUGUAAAUAAUUCCAAAUCAAUUAACUUCACCCAUUCAAUGACUUUGUGGCUUUGUCCAUGUUCGUUAAGUUUUCAUACAUUAGCUAUAGGUUUGAUUUACCCUAGUUGGUUGAUAUUAAUCUCACCUAUUUGUCCUUAGUAGAUGAAUUGUAAGUCUUCCUUGCCUAUUAUAGGGUUAACCCCUCUCUGGCAUGAAGCUUUUCUCAAUCGGUGGACUAGUUGUAUAUAAGGUUGAGUUUUCUCAUGCGGUAACGUAAACCUUCCCGGGCGCUCGUGUUCUGAAAAUUGAACUCACUAACUUUUUGGAAAUCUUUUAGCCGAACAUCGGUUUAUCCUGUACUUAUUGGAGUCGUAGGCACACGGGUCAUGCCGUCUCGAACACAAAGAAUAAUUACAUGUACAUUCUUUCGGCUCCCUAGGAGUACCUAGGACGUGAUGGGUGCCUAACACCUUCCCAUUGCGUAAUUUACCCCUUACCCCGAUCUCUGAUCUUUUAUUGGUUUUCUACGCGUAAAACUUCUUAGGCUUUUGUUCUCUUUUUAGCCAGUCAUUAGGAUAAAUAAAAGUGCGGUGGCGACUCUAAUUCAUUGUAUGCUUUGCUUAUGAUUUAAUCAAUAGAUCAUAUAGUAACGAAUACACCGCUACACACAUCCAUCUGACAUGUGUUCCAGUUGUUCAUGUUUGCUAGACCAACAACCAACCUGAUUGUUUCGAUCCUAGUAACAGGUGAAAAAGCUUCAUCGAAGUCGAUUCCUUCCUUCUGAAGAAAUCCUUUCACCACAAGUCUUUCCUUGUGUCGAGUUACCUAACCUUUGGGAUUCAACUUCAUCUUGUAUAUCCACUUCACAUUGAUUUCCUUCUUGUCUUGAGGCAAUUUGACAAGGGACCAAGUGUUGUUAACUUCGAUGGACUUCAGUUCCUCAUUCAUUGCUUUCACCCACUUCGAAUCCUUCAAUGCCUUAGCUGCAUUGACUGUCCGACAUCUGUAAAAAAAUCAUAGUGUACCAGCUCACCUUCAUCAUAGAACACAUCAUCUGAUGUAAUCACACAUUUUUACAACCUUGUAGGCAUGUGUCUUAUUCUUUGAGGUAUGUUUGUACUUGCCUGACCUCUGACUUCUUCUUGUCGAACUUCUCUUUCGACUUUAAUUAUUGGUUCUUCACCUAAUAUUCUCACUAAAUCCUUCUUGACAUUUUCAGUCCAAUCUAAUUCCUUAAGCUCAUUUAUGAUCACGUCCCUGUUGAUCACUACUUGCUUUUUCACUAGGUCGAAAAACUUGUAACCUCCAAUCGAAUGAUAUCCUAUUAGGAUCAUCUAACUCGACUUGUCAUCAAGUUUUCUUCUCAACUGAUCUGGCACAUGUCAAUGUGCUAUAGAUACAAAUACUUUCAGAUGACUCAAUCUAGGCUUGACAUGAAACCAACAUUCUUCUGGCGUAACUCCUUCUAGAUUCUUCGUCGUACAUUUGUUCAAAAUAUAUGUAGUUGUCGACACUGCUUGUCCCUAUAAUUCUUUGGGUAGAUGUUUUCCUUUCAACAUACUUCUCACCAUGUUUAUGAUGGUUAUAUUCUUCCUUUAUAUUGUUCCAUUAUGCUUUGGAGUGUAUGGUGGCAUCACCUCAUGCACAAUUCCUUCUUUCUCACAUAACUUGUCGAAGUCUUUCGACACGUACUCUCCACUACCAUCAGUCAUCAGAAUCUUGAACUUUCGACCACUUUGUCUUUUGACCUUAGAUUUAAACUUAGGAAAUACCUCGAUCACUUCACUUUUCUUCUUGAUCAUGUAAGUCCACAACUUUCUACUGAAAUCGUCUAUUAAUAUGACAAAGUAUAUGUUACCUCCAAUCGAACCACCUAGAUAUGACCCCAAACAUCAGAGUAUAUAAAUUCUAGAGUUGCCUUCAACCUGCUUCAUGCAUCCUUGUUGAAGAUGUUCUUGUGCUGCUUCGCCUGCACACAUUCUUCACACACUUCAUUUGGAAUGUCGAUUUCUUAUAACCCUGAAACCAUAUUUCUUCUUUUCAGAUCUCUGAUGCCUUUGAAAUUGAGAUGGCCAAGUUUAUAGUGUCAUAUCCAUUCACACUUGCUAGCUGCAGUUGCAAGGUGUAACACCCUUCUAAAAUACCCCAAUAAUUAAUUAAAAUAACAAAAUAUAAAUCAGAGUAGAUAUGCAAUUUCAGGGUGUCACACUUGACACUUCACACCAUUCACCAAAAUAACUUGUCAUGCUCAAAACCUAAAUCCACCAAAAUGGAUGAUUGAUAUUAGGGAUACAAUGAGUUUUCCCACGACCUUUGUUUGGUGUGCUUUGCUUGAUCCUUGAGUGUGAUUGUUGCAUUCAUACAUUCAUGCAUUCAUCUACAUCUCAUGUAAAAAAAAAAAAGAGAAAAUUUUCAAGGAACCUAAAAGGGUUUAUUUGCAAAAUUUUCAGACAUGGAAAGACCAAAGAGGCAUACGAAGAAGUACAGUUUCCGGCAGCCUGAUGUAAAGGAGUUAAGGAAUCUGACAUCUUAUGUACUAGAUCCCUUGGGUUUCAAGGCUCGAUAUGGGAAGCUCCUACCGCUGCUCACUACUCAAGUGGAUGAGGGCUUGAUGAGCACUCUCGCUCAAUUCUAUGAUCCGCUGUAUCACUGCUUCUUAUUCCCGGACUUCCAGUUAUUGCCUACUUUGGAAGAGUACUCUCACAUUAUUGGGAUCCCGAUUCUGGAUCAGGUGCCGUUCAGUGGCCUAGAGAGUAUUCCAUCUGCCCGUGAGAUUGCUAGUCUAUUGCAUAUAGAUGAAGACCUGAUUAGAGCUAAUCUGAUUACCAAAGGUGGAAUUCAGGGUCUUUCUUCCGAGUUCCUUGUCGCUCAAGCUACCUUCUAUGGAGAAGCCAGGAGUGAGGAUGCCUUUGAGGCUCUAUUUGUAUUGCUCAUCUAUGGGUUGGUUCUAUUUCCCAACUUCGACAAAUUUGUGGACAUGAAUGCUAUUAGGAUCUUCUCAGUUCUUAAUCCUGUUCCGACUUUGUUGUACUUAUGUCUCUCUACACCUGAGGAAUAGGAGGGGUGGUGGAGUUAUUGUCUGCUGUCUGCCGUUGCUGUACAAGUGGUUUAUUUCGCACUUGCCGCAGACGCUCGCUUUUAAGGAGAACAAGAGUUGUCUACGGUGGUCUCAGAGACUUAUGUCCCUCACCAAUAAUGAUAUCUCUUGGUACGAUCGCGUGUAUGAUACUGUUCAGAUUAUUGACUCUUGUGGUGAAUUCCCUAAUGUGCCUCUUCUUGGUACAUGUGGUGGAAUCAGCUACAACCCCAUUCUAGCCCGUCGUCAGCUUGGGUUCCCCCUAAAGGAUAAACCUCGUAACAUUCUGUUAGAAGGUGUAUUCUUCCAGGAGGGUAAAGAUCCCCAAGGCUUGAAACCCAGAUUCAUCCGUGCUUGGCGCAGUAUUCGCAAGAAGAGUAAGAACGAAUUAGGACCGAAGAAUUGUAUUGCUUUGGAGCCUUAUACUUCCUGGGUCAGACAGAGAGCUGCCACUUACUUGAUGCCAUACGACCAUCCGAAGCCUACACCGUUGGAUGUGGCCGGACCUUCAACCCUCCCUACCCAACGUGUAGAGGAGUUGAGAGAAGAAGACCUUUCGCGUGCUUGGAUCCGUGAAAGAGAGGAAUUGUUGCAACAGAUUAAGGAGAAGGAUGCUCUGAUUGAGUUUCUUGAGCAUCAAGUGAUCGAUGACCCGAACGACACUUGGACUUCUUUGCUUCCUCAGUCUUCUAAGUUCUGGAAGAGGAAGUAUGAUCAGCUUGCUAAGGCAAAAGCGGAUAUGGAAGCUGCUUAUGAGAGGGAGAUCAAGAAGCUAUGCACUUCUCGUCCUCCAGCAUCCAGAGCUCCUAGGGAUCCAUAGGAUGUUAUUUUCCUUUUCUCCUUGUAAUUGAAUCAAAAACGAUGUACUUCUUUGUCCAAUAUAUUGAAUGAGAUAUUUUCCAUGUGAAAUUCAAAAUGCUUUAAAUAUUCAAAAUAUUGCAAAUAAUACUGUUGAGACAGUUUUUAAGUGUCGGGUUUUGUUAUCGUAUCCACAGAGAUUGUAAGAUAUCACUGCCGUUCAAUGGUUGAAUUAAUCUUAACUUAAUGUAACACUAGGGUUUUGGUUUUAAUCAAGUUAUCUUGCAUACAAAGUAAUUAAUUGCGGUAAAAGUUACGUUUUGAUUAAUAUGAGAAAUAUUGUCAAAGUUAGGUUUCAAUGAUUACAUUUGCUUUGCAUGUAUUUGCUCGGUCAAUCAUCUUAUAAACUCCUUUAGAUGAUAAAUUAUUUCACAAGGUCCUCUCAAUGCGUUUCUCUCGAACACCCAUUGUGAGUUUUGCCAUUUUGAUCCAUUGUUUCUCUCGAACACAAUCUAUCAAAAUGACAACUUUUUGGUUCAACCUUAUGGUGAACAAAAUCAUUCGUUACUAUCUCUAGCUAACAAACAAGUUUGGAUGAAAACCUAGGUCAAGAAUCGGUAAACAUCUCUCGAUCAAAUACCAACACAAAGAGUUUUAAAUAGAAACAAAGUUUUCAUCAUAUAUUUACCGUUAAAGAGUUUACAAAUGAGGAUCCUUACAUUUACACACAAAGCUUGGAAAUCACCUACAUCUAACCUUGACAAAUGGANAAAUAUACUAAUAAUAAUAUAUAUGAAUGGUUUAUCUUUUAUUUUGAAAAAUAAUACCCUCUCAUUCAUAUUAUCAUCAUAAUAUACUAUUAAACUUAAAUUAAAUAAUUAUCAUAUUUUAUCGGGGUGUUACACAAGGCACUUGUAUUCUAUCACAUUAAGUUCAAUCCUGAAGGUUCUAUUCUGAGACAUAUGUGCCUUCAAAAUUAACCUUCCACCUGAGUCGAGAACUCUCGUUAUCUUAUCUUAGAUCGACACUUUAUAGUUCUUUUCGACCAACUGCCAUAUGUUGAAAAAAUUGCUUUUCAUGUCGGGUAUGUACAGUACAUUAGAAAUGACUGACCUCUUGCCAUCUUUCCUCAUAAUAAGAAAAUCACGAAUACCUUCAACUGCUAGAGUAAUUUCAUUUACAAAUUUUACCAUGCUCUUCAUUGAGGGUUUCAUGUUAACAAACCAAUCUUUCCUACCAGUCAUGUGUGAUGAGCAUCUUGAGUCCAAGUACCAUUGGUCCUGAAAUCUUUCUUCAUCUCUUAUUGUGACCAUCAACAAAAUCCCUUCUUCUUCAUGCUUUGCAAACUUUGCAUCAGUUUCUCGAUUCUUCUAUUUUUUAAGACAAUCACUUGAGUAGUGACCAUACUUCUGACAAUUGAAACACGGAAUGUGACUUUUGUCAUAUUUUUUACCACUGUCUCUUCCUCUACCUACAACACCAUCUUUUUGGUUACUUUGGUAUGGGAGUUUUCUCUGAUUUGACCAGCCUCCUUCUUGCUAAUUUUGACCAGUCGGAUUUUUGUAGCCUCCUUUACCUUUGUUGUUGAGCCACUUCCUUUUGCCUUUAUUUUCUCUUGCUAAUUGCGUUUGCAAAGUCACACCACUCUUCGACUUGCCUGCAGCUCUUUUAACCAUUCUUUGUUCAUGAGAUUCAAGCGUCCCUUGAAGCUCUUCCUUUGUCAAUGCUGACAAAUCUUUCGACUCUUCUAUGGCUACUACCACGUGGUCAAACUUUGGAGCCAAUGAUCUCAAGAUCUUUGGAACACCUGAUCAUGAUGUCAACACUUCUCCACAUACCUUGAUUUGAUUCACCAUAUUUUUAACCCUAGUAAAAAAUCAGUUAUGCUUUCACUGUCUUCCAUCUGAAGCAAUUCAUACGUUCUUUUGUGAGUUUGUAACCUCACCUCUUUCACCUUCUCUCUGCCUCCAAAUGAUUUUUCAAGAAUUUCCCAUGCUUCUUUCACUAACUCAACAUCACUAACCUUUUGAAAAUUAUCAUAAUCAACACAUUGAUGGAUUAUAAAGAGAGCUUUAUAAUAUUUCUUCUUCAAUUCUUUGUGUGCAUCAUUUUCUUCAUCCGUCGCAUUUGCUGCAAGCGAUGUCACUCCCUCCUUCACAAGAUCCAAAAGAUCUUGAUAGGAAAAGACAUCCUUUAUCUGCUUGCACCAAUUCUCGUAAUUCAAAUUCUUCAGAAUUGGGAGACUCACUGAAAAAUGCUCGUUCAGAUGAUUCAUCACCAUCGUCCUUUUCUUCCCACAAAUCACUCAACCAUUGCUCUAGAUAUCGGGUGUUGGAAUUAAACUCAAGACUUUGAGUAAUUCCGAAUCAAUCUUGAUGAACAAGAUCCAAUCAACCGAUUGAAUUCUCUUCUUGUUCUUCACUCUUCACUCGAGUGAAUCAGUCAACCUUGGUUGCAAGACUGUAUCGUUGCACAAUGGUAAUAAAAAGAAACAAAAUUGAAUUGGGGAAGAAAGAGAUAUUAGGAUUUUCGAAUAAGGAAGAAGAUGAAUUUUCUACAAAGAUCCUCUCUGCUCACAAACUAUGAUUCUUUAUUCUUUUGCAACUGAAAAAUUCAAGUAUUUUCAGUAAGAGGUUACUCCCUAUUUAUAGAUUUUGGGCUUACUUCUCAAGUAAGACUCAAAACUAACAUAACUAACCUGUUUCGACACAAAAAAAUUACAAUUUAAUAUAUAUAUUUUUGACUCUAAAGCAAACUUGAUUCAGAAAGUAUGACUUUAUCGACCAUCUUAUGCAUUUUUGACCACUUGAGCUAUCUUAAACAAUUAUUUUUGACUUCAAGUAUUGUCAUCAUCAAAACCAUAUCAUUGUCAAUCUUAAAGAACUAUUGAUUGAAUUGUGUCUUACUAUUCACGAGUUUCACCAUCUUGAAUACUUCUUGAUUAUAUCCAUAAGCAUAUAGAUCCAUAGAUUUCAUGUCGUUUUUCUAAUCCCAUCCUCUGAAAAUUCGUCUGUUAAAUACAUAUUAUCUUCCAUCCUAAUCUUUUUGUAUCUAUUCUCCAUACUGUUUCCUAACACCUCAGGAAAGUGCUAAAAAAUGUCUUGUUUUACCAGUUAAAACCCGGUUAGCUUUGCAUCAGUGAAAGUAUCUUGUAUUAGCUUCAGGGGCGGAGGUAUUAAGAAGAAAGAAUGGGCCCAUGCCCCCACCACAUUCUUAUUUGAUUAAUAUUUAAUAAUAUAUUAAUAAUUUAAUAUCCUAAAAAUUAGGAAGAAAAGUUAAUAAUGCCCCCACUUAAUAAAAUGAUUUGGAGUAUCACACACGGACACACAUCCAUAUGCAUUUAAAAUAAAUUAAAUUCUUUAAAUAAAAUUAAAAAGUUUAACUCCUAUUUUUUUUCAUAUUCCUAUUAAUUCUCUUUUACUCUUUCCAAAUAGAAACAAACCACUUUUCAUAUUCUUCUUUCUCCCACUCCUUAUUCUCUCACUACAAAGUGUAUUUCUGUUUCUAGCUUCUUCUCCAUUGUUGAUCUUUUAAAAGGUAAUUUUUUUAAUUUUAAUCUUUAUGAAUUUAUAAUUUAUUUUUAUUAUUGUAGUAAGAGUAAAAAAUAUAUUAUUACUUUAUUAAGCUAGAGAUUGUGUUAAUGGCAGAAAAUUUAUUUUUAGAGUUUUGUAGUGUUUGUUUGAAACUAUUGUGUUUGUAUCAAUUUUAUAGUAUUAUUAUGAAUUUUCUGAAUAUGAUUUUAAUUGUGAUUUUUUGUUUUGUUUUUAGCAAUAAACAAUGGAAAAAUAUUUCAAAAGAAAAGCAACAGAGCAAUCAUCAACUCCUAAUCCCUAAACACCUAAUGAACGUCGAAGCCCCAAACUGGAUCCUCCCAUGAAAAAAAGAUUUUUGCAGUUUGAAUUGGAAAAACUUUCUAACUAUCCCGGUUUAAGGCCAAAAAUGUCAGAUUAUCAUCAAAGCGAUAGAGAUGAAAUUAGAAGAUAUUAUUUGCAAAAGGGUCCUUGUCAACCAAAAGAAAUUAUUUUUCCACAAAAAAAAUUUGGAGAUACCUUUCGUAAGUUUAAUUCGGAUUGGUAUUUAAAACAUGGUAGUUGGCUGAAAUAUAGUCAAAUUGAGAAUGCUGCAUAUUGUUUAUGUUGUUAUCUUAUGAGGUCACAUCUUGAAGAACAUAAAGGUUGUGGUGAUGCCUUUAUAACAGAAGGCUUUACAAAUUGGAAAAAAAAAAGUGAAAGGUUUCGAGUUCAUCUUGGAGAUGUAAAUAGCUCUCAUAAUCAAGCAUGGAGAAAUUGUCAAGCUCUAAUGAAACAAAAGCAACACAUUGAAGGUGUCUUGUGUAACCAAUCCAAUCAAGUUAAAGAGGACUAUCAAGUUCAUUUGACAUGUAUAAUUGAUUGCAUCCGAUAUUUAUUAGCACAAGGUUUAGCUUUUCGUGGUAAUGAUGAGUCAAUUUCAUCCAGAAAUAAGGGGAAUUUUCUUGAACUUAUGAACUUUCUUGUUAACCAUAGUGAAGAUAUUUAUAAAGUUUGGAAAAAUUGUCGUGGAAAUCUUAAGUUAACAUCUCCUGAUAUUCAAAAGGAUAUUGUUAAAGUUGCUGCAACGGUCAUUACUCAAGUUAUACUGGAUGAUCUUGGAGAUGAUUUAUUUGCUAUUUUAAUUGAUGAAUCUCGUGAUAUCUCAGUGAAGGAGCAAAUGGUUGUGGUUAUACGUUAUGUAAAUAAUGAAGGAAAAGUUAUUGAGCGUUUUCUUGGUGUUGUUCAUGUUUCAAAUACUAGUGCUCUAACAUUGAAAUCGGGUUUGGAGUCGUUAUUUGCAAAAUAUGGAUUAAGUUUGUCAAGGAUACGUGGACAAGACUAUGAUGGAGCAAGUAAUAUGCAGGGUGAAUACAAUGGUCUAAAAAUCUUGAUUUUUAAAGAGAAUUGUUCUGCAUUUUUUAUUCAUUAUUUUGCCCAUCAACUCCAAUUAGCUCUUGUGACAUUAGCAAAAAAUCAUUCUAAAUUUGCUUUAUUUUUUAAUGGUUGCUACUUUGUAUAAUGUUGUUGGAGCAUCAUGUAAGCGCCGGAAUAUUCUUCGUGAAAGUCAAGCUACAAAGGUGAAACAAGCAUUGGAACAUGGAGAAAUCUCUAGUUGGCGUGGCUUGAAUCAAGAAAUGACAAUUAAGAAGGCGGGGGAAACAAGAUGGAGCUCACAUUAUGGUACAUUAUUUAGUAUAGUUUCUCUAUUCUCUUCUAUGAUUGAUGUGCUAGAAAUGGUUGAGGAAGAUGAAACAGAUUUAGAUAAAAAAAAAGGUGAAGCACUAAUGCUGAUGAAUUAUAUGCAAUCUUUUGAAUUUAUUUUCAUCUUGCACUUGAUGAAAAUAGUUUUAGAAAUUACACACGAUUUAUCUCAAGCAUUACAAAGAAGUAUUCAAGAUAUUGUAAAUGCUAUGAAGUUAGUAAAAGUGUCCAAAAUAAGGCUACAAAUUAUAAGAGAUAAUGAUUGGGAUUCUUUCUUGAAUAAUGUUUCAUUAUUUUGUUAGCAUAAUGAUAUUGACAUUCCAGAUAUGGAUGACACUUUUCAACCGACACAAAAAAAGUCAAAGAGAAAAUUGGAGAAAGUAUCUAAUUUACACCAUUUUCAAGUUGGAUUGUUUUAUGAAGUGAUUGAUCGACAACUUCAAGAGUUGAACAACCGUUUUACAAAAGUGAAUAUUGAGUUGCUCCUUUGUGUAGCUUGUUUAAGUCAAAGAGAUUCAUUUUCUACAUUUGAUAAGGAGAUGUUGAUUCGUUUAACUAAAUUUUAUCAUUCAGAGUUUUCUCAAGUUGAAUUAUUGACACUAGAUUGUUAGCUUGAAAACUAUUUCUUAGAUGUAUGCUCUGACAGUGAAUUUUCAGAAUUAAAGGGGAUUGGUGAUCUUUUUAUCAAGCUCAUAGAGAUCAAAAAACAUGUGUACCCGUUGGUAUAUUUGCUUUUAAAGUUAUCUCUGAUAUUAUCGGUGGCAACUGCAACAACUGAAAGAGUUUUCUCUGCUAUGAAUAUUAUCAAGAAUUGAAUGCGAAAUCGCAUGGGUGAUGAUUGGUUAAAUGAUUGAUUAGUUACUUACAUUGAGAGAGAUAUUUUUGUUGAUGUUGAAAAUGAGAAAAUCAUUCAGAAGAUGAAAAAUCGUCGUCCCUGAUUAGCUUCCCCUUCUUUUAAACCAUUUCAAGAGGGGCUUUACCACAGAAUACUAGCCUUCAUUCUCACUAGAGAAAACAAUUGAUACAACACAUCUCUUUUAGAUAUAAUUCUUCUGAAGAUAGCACUGAUAUUUCACUUUUCAGGUCCAUCUCAAUGACUUUUUUCGUUUACCUCUUCUGAGUAUACAAACACCCUUACAGAAACAUCAUUGUCACUGUGAUGUGAAUGAUUGAAAAGGUGUAUAAAAAUCGACAAAAUUAUAAAAAAUAACAAAGCAGGAUCCGUAUAUUUGAGAGGUGCCAGCUGAACAAAACAUAAAAUAACGUAUGUGUAAAUCCAAAAUGUUGAGAGGUGCACAUGAACCCCUGGGUACAAAACAAGGUGUCUCUGCCCCGGAGUAUGCAUGUCCCAAUUGCCAAGAAUGGGUUCUAUUAGGCCCUAUACUAGUGAUCACUAAUGCUUAACAGUUUUUGCAUUUGGCCAAAUAAUAUUUAAAAAGAGAGUAACUAUCUAAUUUAACACACAUAACUCAAACAAUUAAUCACACACAUUGAUUAAUAAACGCAUCAAGUAACAUACAUAACAACAUUACAAAAGUACUGCAUAUGCGCAGUUUAUUUAUAGAAACUGGAUCUGUCACACAUGACUUGACAUGCAUGAUGAUGAAAAGCAAAAAAACUAUGCAUCUGCAGCUUGCUUAGAACUUGAAGUUCCACUCAACUCAGAAUGAAAAGACCAUGAAAGAACUUCAUGUGCUGCAUAUUCUGCUCCUGUGGUAGCUGAGAAACCAAUCCUUACCCACUCAGGAACAACAUCCUUCAAAGACACAACGUCGCUAAGAGUAUAACUAGUUACAUUCUCUUCCUCAAGUGAAUUAGGAUAGGUCAAACUAACAGUUAACACAUUAGUAGCAGCAUUAAAAGCUAUCACAACAUUAGCCUCUUCACCAUUCUGCAACUUCCACGACUUAGUGUUUACGGAUUUGAUACUGUUCACAUCGAUUCCAAUAUGUCUAUCUCUGUUGCUUGGAUCCCAUGCAGCAUUAUAGAAAGUGUCAAACUCCACAGCAACAGUUUGAGUGGUUUUAUCAUACUCUGCGCUAUUGAAAACUCCGAGAUAUCCACCGCCGGUCUGCGGCUUAGUAUCUACAGGUGCGAUGAAGAACGUAAACCCGUCGGCAACGUUGUAACUGUUGGGUGCAUUUAUGACAAAAGUGAAGGAAGUUACAAAAUUAGCAACGUUGCCUGUUUCUCUAUCCCAGAUAUGGAUAGGUGAGGAAUAGAGGGCUCUGCCAACAGUGUUCUUUACUGCCUUGGUCAGUGUCAGCUUCUCUUUUGUGGUAUAGCCAUCUCCUUGGAAGAUUAGGUUUUGUUGGUCGGGGCUGAACUUGGUGAUCAAGAAGGAAGUGGUUUCAGUUGAGUUCACCUUGAAGAAAAGGAUUGUUGUUAAGAGAAUGGAUAGAAAUAUCGCAUAGAACGAGAUCAUUUGGGUUUGAAGAGAAGCCAUUAUUGGUUAUAAUUGCAUGCAUGCAUGCAUGCUACUUGUUUAUAUAGUGGUGAUGACUCAUUCUACGUGUCUUUAUAGUGCGUUACAAUGAAACACAUAUACAACACCAUGUCCCAUCAUUUUCUACGCGUCCAUCGAAUCUUCUUUGAAGACAAAAAAUAUUGUAUUUUGUUUAACUAGUUUAUUUAUUUAUUACUAUAUAUUUUUGCAUGUAAUAACUUGUAUUUCUUCGAGGUUGUUCGGUUUAGAUCAUGAUUACUGUUUUUGUUCGGUACGAUAACUAUUAAAAUUUAUAUGUUAAAAAAAUAUGACUCAUUAAAUUUCAAUUUAUUUAAAGAGUUUUUUAGGGCUGAUAUUUAUUUAAAACUUAUGGAGAGGGUGGUCGUAUUGUUAUAACUAAUAUAUUUUAUGAUAAAAUUUGUAUCUCAUCCAAUUAAAAAUUAAGGUAUCAUCUCAUCCAAUUAAAAAUUAAGCUAAAAGAUCUAGCUACAUCAUAUUUUUUUGGCACAAUUAAUCACCAAAUUUUUAGUUUAAUUUAAUAUUUUGUUUUAAUUCUUUAAUUAAAAAAUAUUAUAUGUUAAUCUUUUAAUUUCACUUCUUUAUCUUAUUUGUUCUCUUCCGUUAAUUUCUAGGAAAAAAUAUUAAGUUCUUGUGACAUGACAUGAAAGAAAUGUCACUGAGUCAAUAUAUGUAGUUGAAAACUUACACGUCAUUAAAUUGAAGGGGAUUUAUUUUUAACCUUCAGAAACAAAACUCUCGCAGUUUAAAUAGUAUAUCAAUUUUUAACUACAUAUGUUGACUUAAAAUUUAUACCAAUGACCUAGCUAUCACACCACAUCAUCAGAACUUAACUUUUUUUUUUGCCAGAAAUCAAAUAAGUUAAUGGAUUAAAACGGAAUAUUAAAUAAAGUUAAGGGACUAAAACAUGUAUUAAGCUUUUUUUAAUAAAUAUCACAUAUUUCAUUAGUUUUUAAAUAUAACCGAGGGGAAAGAUAAUUCAGGACAUGUUUCAAAUCCCAAUAAUAAUAGAUUCUUUAAAAGUGACGUCUUUCUUUUUGUUUUAUUUUUAAUUUUUAAACUAAUAAUCUAUAUUUUCUUUUAUAUUUAAUAACGAGUGAUUAGAUUAUCAUAUUUUACUAUAAAAACACUCAUUAAUCAGAUUUUACCUUAAACCUAACUUAUACGUAGUUGCUUCAAAGUCUUAUGCAACCUUCUUUGGAAUGGAUUGUAAGAUAGAAAAAAAAUUCAAUGUUCUUCAUUCUUGAACAAAAUAUUUUUUCUGCCCUUGCAAUCUAUCUCACAUAACUUUGUUGUAUUUUUGUAAUAAUUUUCCUAUGUUCUCAAUCAAAGAAAAUAUUGAGAAAAUUAUUGUUUUUCUAUGUUGACAAUAUUGAGAAAUUUAUUCCUACACACAAUCAUCUAUUUGUUAUGAAAACAUUUUCUCAAGAUAAUGAAAUCUCUCUGAGAUUGAUUGCAAGUACGGAAAAAAAAUUCUCUUAGCUGAAGUAGAUAAUUUAUUAGAAAUUUGAGAAGAUAUGUUGUUCUGCAAGAGUCCAUUGUCAAAAUAUUGAUUUGUUUAAACAAUUUAUUUGAAUAUUCAUCGUAAAUAUAAAAAUAAAAAUAAAAAUAAAAAUAAGUUUUUUCUCCUCGUUUUUAACAGAAACGGAGAGGUAUAUGACGCUUGGGUUGUGACAUAUUUUAUUAUUUUUUAUUUAAAAAAAACGUAUUUUAUCUCAGUUUUGAGUAAUAACCAAGGUAAAACAUAAGUGUGUUUAUUCAGUUUCUUCACCGACCUUAAACAAAUUUAUGUCGUUCAUUUAAUAAGUAUCAACGCUCAAGACACUGUCAUUAGUGAUCAUCGUAAAACCUAAAAUCCUAAUUAUAAAAAUAUUAUGAAUAUUAAAAAUUGAUAAUGAAAUAUUUGACAUGAAAGCUUUGAAUCUUAAAAAGGAGUUUAUUUUUUUGGGGAAAAGUUCUCAAGGAUGGAUUGCAAGAACAGAAAAUUAUUUGAGUUCAAGGUUUGUGUUCUUAAAUAAUCAUAUAACUGAAUAUUUAUUUUAUUUAUCUAACCUUUUUUAUUUAUUUUAUAUAAGACAUUUGAUCUUCCUAAAGAUCAUUGAAACGAGGAUCCCCAACAUUUGUUCUUCCCCGAUAUAUUAGUAUUUGUUCUUCACUGACAGCGAUGACAAUGAACCAGACUCAACAGUUCAACUAAUAUUUAUUUUGUGUAACAAUUUAGUUUGUAAAUAAAUUAAUUUAUUAAUAUUCUAUGUAAUUGUAAACACUGUAAUGAGUAUUUAAAAAAAUAUAUAUAUUUUUUCCCUCGGUUUUGUUAUGAAACCGAGAGGUAUAUGAUGUUAGUUUGAAAAAUAUAAAAAAGUUAUUAUUUGGGAUCGAACCCAUGACCAUUUCAAUUAUUACAUCGAUUAUUUUUAAAUAGAGGGGUAAAAUGGUAGUUAUUACACCCUUCGCUGCCUCGCCUCUUUAACCGAGGUUAAAUCAACUUUGUGUUUGAGGUUACAUGUGUUUUUUUAGUAGUAUGGAGAGAGAAAAAUAAUUAUCCAAAUUUAAAUUUGGAAUUGUUCGGGACCCAUUCGCAAGGUCUAUAGAAAAAGAUCUAAGAGUGAAGCUCGAAUUGAAAGACACACAAAGUAGGUAACCCUUCGUUCUAACUAGAAGCAGGAAAUUUUAUCCUUUCAACGCAUCAAUCAUCGUCUGAUUCAAUUUGAGAUUGUUUGCAUAAUAUGUCGCAUCAUAUUCAAGUAGCUUCAACUGCUUUUGAUAUAUAUGGGUAAAAUUGGUCAUUUUAGAAAUUCAAAUCAAUUUUCACUCACACAUUACUUAUGAUUUUUUUCGCUGACUUAGAGGUUGAAGUGCUAAGCUUCCAGAUGAACCUCUUAUCCGUUGCACUGAAAGUAUUGAUCAAUCACAACAAAACAUAACUUCAGUACCCCACCUUUAAUUUCUAGUUUCUAAAUGAAGAGUGGCGCCAUCUGUGAAAAUCGAUUUCUGAUUUCGCAGAUUUCCACGAAAAACCAUUGUUUCUCCAUCGAAGAUCCAUAUCACGGAUCUCCUUUCUUGAAGUUUCAACCUCCUCCUCGAACAGAUAUCAUCAGAUUCAUCAAACAUGGUGACAUCCAAAAUCAGUCGAUCCACCGUUCAGUGACAAGUUGUUGUUGUUAUUGCUGUUGAAGUUGUCAAAGCUCUACAUUUUCCUUUUCCUCCACCGACAGAAGACGACACUACUACGAAAUAAAUAAAUAAUGACAGUUGUGAAACACAUAUAAUGACGGUUGUACUUCUGUUGUUAGGUAAGGUGUGAUUGUAUGUAUGUUGGUUUCCACAACGGGCAUGUGACUAUUGUUAUAAGUUAAUUAGCGUGCUACGUAUAACAACAGUUGAAUUAAACAACCGUUGUGAUAUUAUUUGUUUUAUUAUUCUGGAUAUCUCUACUUAUAACAAUGGUUGAAUUAAGCAACCGUUGUGAUAUUAUUUGUUUUUUAAAUCUGAAUAUAUCUAAAUCAUAUCAGACUAGAAACAACGAUACACCAGUUUGUGAGUGAACAACCUUAGAAAUCAUACUAUCUUGUUGUCUUGGUGUCUUGACUUUAAACACCUAUAAUUCUAAAUAAAAAUAUUUACGAGUUAAUAACCUUAUAAAUUAUAACUUACAAUAAAUUAUGAAUGAAGAAUAUAAAAUACUUACUUGUUAUUUUCCCCAUAUUUCUUAUUGAUGUUCUUCAUAUGAAGUAGGCACUUGUGUUAUGUAAGAACAAGAAUCUAUACACAGAAGAUAAAAAGAGGAGAUAAGAGAGAGUCUAAGUAAAAAUAAAAAUAAAGUAUUCACGAAAUCUCAAUUGCUAGAGAAAAGGGUAAACAAUUAUCCAUAAUAUCCAAGAUAGUCAAAGUCAGAUUCUAAAAGGAAAAGCUUCCCAAGAUGCAUAGUCUUCAAGGCAACUUGUACAUUAUCCAAGAUUUCUUUUUAUAAAAAUAGACGUUUGCAUACCCAUUCAGAUCACAUUACUCUAUAGCUAAAAUAGGUCAACCAGAGCAGUAUAAGGCUCAAAAGUGGGAUCAUGAGAAAGAGAUUUCCAAGCCGAUGAAGAA